This 506-nucleotide ribosomal RNA is filed under the name uncultured bacterium. RNAcentral describes it as "bacterial SSU rRNA". It matches the Rfam family "Bacterial small subunit ribosomal RNA", at positions 335 to 859 of the family's 1533-position model. The record is from RNAcentral.
ACUCCUACGGGAGGCAGCAGUGGGGAAUCUUGCGCAAUGGGCGAAAGCCUGACGCAGCCAUGCCGCGUGAAUGAUGAAGGUCUUAGGAUUGUAAAAUUCUUUCACCGGGGACGAUAAUGACGGUACCCGGAGAAGAAGCCCCGGCUAACUUCGUGCCAGCAGCCGCGGUAAUACGAAGGGGGCUAGCGUUGCUCGGAAUUACUGGGCGUAAAGGGAGCGUAGGCGGACUGUUAAGUUAGAGGUGAAAGCCCAGGGCUCAACCUUGGAAUUGCCUUUGAUACUGGCAGUCUUGAGUACGGAAGAGGUAUGUGGAACUCCGAGUGUAGAGGUGAAAUUCGUAGAUAUUCGGAAGAACACCAGUGGCGAAGGCGACAUACUGGUCCGUUACUGACGCUGAGGCUCGAAAGCGUGGGGAGCAAACAGGAUUAGAUACCCUGGUAGUCCACGCCGUAAACGAUGAGUGCUAGUUGUCGGCAUGCAUGCAUGUCGGUGACGCAGCUAACGCA